Molecule: long non-coding RNA, 1258 nt
Filed under: Canis lupus familiaris (dog)
Lineage: Eukaryota; Metazoa; Chordata; Mammalia; Carnivora; Canidae
Description: lncRNA (ENSCAFG00040007919.1)
Source: RNAcentral
GGCCUCCACCGAUUACGAUCGACACCAAUGUCCGUUUAAUAAAUCUCUGAGGACGCAGAGCGCCCCGGAGAGCAGGGGAGGAAACUCGUGGUGGCGCACAGUCCCAUCCCAUUUCCUGGGUCUCACUGGCCACUGGUGGAUGGAAAUGUGAUUUUUUAAUGGCCUCAGGUAAGGGUGCCGGUCCGUGUUGGGAACCCGUGACACUGCAGCGAGUCCGUCGUGCCCGCGUGCGUCAGCACCCCUGGAACCUUCCCAGGAGCCGUGCCAGGCAGGUGUGACCGUGCUGUCUCCGGGCUGGUUCUAGGGAGGGCGAUGGACCCUACGCGACACACACUCAAAACCCCAGCCCAGCCCCGGUGCACCAGGCUCACAGCCUCUGGGACACGGUCCGCUUUCAGGGCAGAGAAGUGGUGACAGUGAGGACGACGGAUCCGAGCUCCCAGGCCCUACAAGGGGGAGCCCGGCUGGAGGGGGGUGGUCUGGGAGGCAGGUGCCUAGUCCAGGUGGAGGCACCUGGCGGGCGGGGGUGGGGGCCACGCUUCUUGAAACCCACUCCAUGGAUACGUUUGUGAAUGUUGAUGGUGUAUUCUCUGGUCACUACCUCGUUGAUGGCAGAACGGCCCUUCUUCUUCUCGCCACCCUUCUUUGCGGGAGCCAUUCUGCCAGGCCCUAGCUGGAAAGUGUACUAGCUGUUAUUGUAUUUCUAUGUCAGUCUGUUGAUUCACAUAAAAUUGAAUAAGCAGGUGUACUGCUACACUUCCCACAAAGUACAUUCAAUCAAAAGUCAGAUUAGGAUGGUCUGCAUUUCUCUUUAGAAUUUAAGCCUGCUCCAGUGAGGGUGACAAAACAUGAGAGACCCCUAACUCUGGGAACUGAACAAGGGGUAGUGGUAGCGGAGGUGGUAGGGGGGUUGGGGUGACUGGGUGAAGGGCACUGAGGGGGGCAUUUGGCGGGAUGAACACUGGGUGUUAUGCUAUAUGUUGGCAAAUUGAAAUCCAAUAAUAAAUAAUAAAAAAAGAAAAAAAUAAUUUAAGCCUGCUACUUUUUAAACUGGUUUAUAUAUGAACAGAAUUGCAAGAUGGCAUUCACAAUUAUUUUUUAAUAUUUUAAGAUUCUUUAAUUUUUUAAAAAUUACUUGAAAAAUUUUAUAAGUAUUUUUGUGUUGAAUUUUUAAUCUUAAAAUUAUUGUACUAUUAUUUAAAAUAAAGGAAAACAGUUCCCUUCUUAUCUUUUUUUCAUGUUUCGGGGGCAAUAUUUU